ACAUGUUUAGAUUUUAACCGAAGCAUACCAACUAACUCGUUGAAUUUAAAACAUUCACAAGCCAAACACAAAAAGAAAACACAAAGAUUCAUACAAUAAUUACUAGAAAAUUUAGAAAUGGGAAAUUUGGAUAAAAAUAAAAAGAUGAAAAUACAUACAUCAGAGGCAUUACUAAUGAGCUCACAGAGAAAGAUCUCCUUGUUGCUAUAGAAGGUGUUGAUGAUCAAACUCAGAAGCUAGUUGAUCUCAUGGAUCAGGACCUGAGUCCACCUCCUGAGUUGUAAAACGACAUUGCCGAGGUCGGCGUAUCCCGCUUUCGAAAAAGAGCUUAUUCAAUGACGGCUGCUGAGAGGAGGAGGAAGCAGCAACCCAUCUGGCUCUUGCUUUGGAAGAAUUACCGUCGUCGGCGUUGGCGAACAAGAGGUCCCGGUUGAAAAUCGGGAACACCGGAUGGAUCUGGCCAUUUUAGAAUACAUCGUCGGUGGAAAUCGACGAUCCGUCGGAGUUGGUGCAGGCGAAAGAGAAAUCGUCUUCAUCUUCAUUCUUCUCGCAAUCACCAUCGGUGUCGGCGUUCUAAACACCUUCCUCCUCUUCCAUUUUCAGCUUCUCCUUCUCAUUAUCUAAAGCUACGUACAGUUUUAGGGUCAUUGAAUUCAAAAUCGCUACCUGAACCAGUGACUUUGAGCUUAGAGCUUAAAUUUGCAGAGAGUUGUAUUCAAAUUUGUUCUUCGAAUCGUGCAAAUUCGAAACCGCUUGCAUUUUCGUUUUGUUCAAUCAUAGACAAUUUGGGGGUUUUGAGGGUUCGAGGCUUGAAACUCGAGAGAGUGAGAGAGAGGGUUGGGAACUUGGGAGUUUAGUGUUGAGAGUUG
This 869-nucleotide long non-coding RNA is filed under the name Prunus dulcis (almond). Its description in RNAcentral is "sRNA ncRNA". The record is from RNAcentral. Lineage: Eukaryota; Viridiplantae; Streptophyta; Magnoliopsida; Rosales; Rosaceae.